AUUUUUCAUAUUUUGGAAGCAUCUAUGGCGCAGAGACAGCUAAGAAACAAAGAGUUUCUAUAAUUACCUUUAAAAAGCAUUUUGACCCCUAUUUUUUGAGACACUCGACUUCUUUGCCAGCUCUGAUAAUAAACCCCGUUUUUGACAUUCAGGGAGCAACUCAACAGGAAGAGGAAGCAGGAACUAACCAGAAGAAGACUGUGGGGAUACUGAAUGCAGAGGGAAUAAAUCCAUUGUAGGUGGCCCAGGACCUUCUGACUCCAGAAGAAUUAGAAUCCUGGGUUAGGG
RNAcentral lists this long non-coding RNA (288 nucleotides) under Homo sapiens (human). RNAcentral describes it as "HSALNT0244866". Lineage: Eukaryota; Metazoa; Chordata; Mammalia; Primates; Hominidae. The record is from RNAcentral.